RNAcentral lists this ribosomal RNA (443 nucleotides) under uncultured bacterium. RNAcentral's name for it is "partial 16S ribosomal RNA". It matches the Rfam family "Bacterial small subunit ribosomal RNA", at positions 338 to 795 of the family's 1533-position model. The record is from RNAcentral.
CCUACGGGUGGCAGCAGUGGGGAAUAUUGGGCAAUGGAGGCAACUCUGACCCAGCAACGCCGCGUGAAUGAUGAAGGUCCUCGGAUUGUAAAGUUCUUUUCUAAGGGAAGCAGCAAGUGACGGUACCUUAGGAAUAAGCCUCGGCUAACUACGUGCCAGCAGCCGCGGUAAUACGGAGGAGGCAAGCGUUAUCCGGAAUGCCUGGGGGUAAAGGGUGCGUAGGGGGUUUGGCAAGUUAGUAGCGCAACUCCGGAGCUCAACUUCGGAACUACUACUAAAACUGUUGGACUUGAGUGCAGGAGGGGCAAGCGGAAUUCCUGGUGUAGCGGUGGAAUGCAUAGAUAUUAGGAGGAACACCAGUGGCGAAGGCAGAUUGCUAGACUGUAACUGACACUGAGGCACGAAAGCGUGGGGAUCAAACAGGAUUAGAUACCCCUGUAGUC